GCUAGGCUGGAGGCUUGAGACCCUUGGAAGGCCCCGUAAGCCCCGCGCCAGCCUGCCUUCCAGCAUUCCUGAGCAAGACCUUUGCGUGGCUCGUUCUCUAGACUCCCUGAGAAACUUCUGGGUGAAGGGAACCAAAGCCAAGCCACUGGCAACUGACCUUCAGGGAACUGACUCCCGGACAGGUGGAGACUGAAUUCCCUCUGCUCUUCUUCCUCUGGAACUGGGUGCCCACACCGUGUCCACAGCCUCAUAUCUCCAAAGCCACUGCUGGGGUUGGGAUGGUGCAAGUACGGCAGCUUUAGUUUGGAUCUGAAAUGUCCCCCACAGGCUCAUGUAUUUCAGGCAUAAAGAAUGCAAGAGUUGUGAGUUCCACCAAGAUUUCAAAUGAAGGCCUCGGAGGCCAGGAAAAGUGUGGCUGGAAUGGAACUCAUUCAGAUAGUUCCUGAGAAGAUGUUAUAUGAAGCUAUAAGAGUGAAAAUGAAGCUGCAAUGAAGACCUCAAGAAUUUAGAGAUACCAAGGUACCAGGAAUAUCUGCUGAGGAAAGCUGCAGUGGAGCCAGCCCAAGAGUGUGACCAAGUGGGUUUCAGCCAGCAAGGCCAUAAAGUCAGGAUGCUCAAGUCCUAUGAAGCUUACAUCAAAUACCAACAGGUGCUUCAGAUGCUGGACAUAGUUAGAGGAUUUAACAUUUUCUCAGCUAGUUUUCAUCCUUGGUAUUCUCCUAUUCCUCUCAUUUGGAAUGGGGAUGUUUACCCUGUGCUAUUUUAUGUUGACAUAGUUAACUUCUUUUUUUUUUUUUUAAUUUUUGUAGGGGUUCAUAGCUCAGAGUUUGCCUGAGACUCAAAGAAGAAUUUGGACUUGGACUUGUAAGCACUUCUAGAACUAUUAAGACUAUGGGGAGGGACUGAAUGUGUUUUGCAUUGUGAAAUGCUUAUGAAUCUUUGGGGGCAAGGGCAUAAUGUUAUAGAUUGAAUCUGGAAUAUAUACCAAAGGCUGUGUGUUAAAGGCUUGGUUCAUUCCCAGCUGACAGAGUUAUUAGGAAGUGGUGGAAAAUUUAGUAGUUGGGACUUAGUUGAAGAAAGUAAGUCUCUGGGGGUAUGCCUUUGGAGGGUACAUUUUGUCCCUGGCCCCUUUUAAUUCUCUCUUUACUAUUUGGCCACCAGAAGGUGAGCAAAAGUACCUGCCAUGUUCUGCCUCUCCACAGACCCAGAAACAAUGAAUUCCAGUGACCAUGAACUGAAACCUCUAAAACUUAAGCCAAAAAAUAAAUCUUUAAGUUGAUUUUCUUAGGUAUUUGCUCACAGAGAUGUGGAGGUAACACGCAUGUCCUUCCAGGGGUUGAUCUUCAAUUGAAAUGUGAAAGUCAGCUUUAUUUUAGAAUCUAUGGAAUGAUACCUUAUAGUCCUUAUUCUGGGAUGAAGAUGACUAUGAGUAGGGAUUGAAGGUGAGCAUGGGAAUGGAAAUGAGUAUGAGAUAGGAUCUGGUAUUGAAUCUUGGUUUGAGGAAAGCAAUAGGAAUGUACAUUAGUGAGGGAAAGUGGAUGGGACAGAGGCAGUGAGGGAGACCUUUAAUCCUCCAUUUAGAGGGCAGGAACAUUACAUAUGCCACUGAAUAAAACAAGAGUGAGAUUCUAGGGGGUGACUGCUCCUAGAACCCUGUGGAGUAUCCACUAUGGACCUUCUGUGUAGCAGGGGAAGACCCCAGAAGAUCUGACUACUGUUUUAAGUUUCCUCCCAAAGUCUUCACAUAUAAUAGCUGCCAAUGAAGAUACAGAUGCCUUUAUUUAGCUUUAAUUUCUUCUGCUUGUCAACAAGUGACUGCAAUGAGUUCCUUGAAUAUCUGCUGGUAUUCAAACCACAUUUGUCUUGAAAAAUUUUCUUCUUCUUUCCCCCCUACACUCUAGCAAGUUGUUCUCUUUGUCUCUCAAAUAGUGCCAGAAUAUUCAAGCCAAAGAAAUUAAAGCUACUGGACUCCAUGUGCUUGGUAUCAGAAUCUCCCUGGAGACAAGUCUCAAGUAGUUGGAGAGGAAAAUGCUCAUGCUGAAAAUGAGAUGUGGGAAUGCUGAGAGUGUGGAUGUCAGGAUGUUUGACAACUCAGUCAUAUAAGCUUCAGAAGACAAAGAGACAUAGAGGGUGCAGCAUAAGGGACUCUUUGGACAGCAGGGUUGAAUAAAGGAGAAGAAUGCAUUGUCAAAAUCCAUAAAUCUCUUGUUUAAAGCCAAUGAAAAAAAAUAAAGACCAGUUUAUUAACACACCUGUACAUGGACAGGUAUGUUCUUAAUGUGCUAUCAAAAGACUGUGAGAACAUUGAAAAAGGAUACACAGCUUAUCAUCUGGAAUGAAUAAUGAGAUAGUUAAAUGCACUUUGCUUCAUAGUGUAAAAAUGGGGUGCAUCACAGAUGCCAAAUCCAUAAUUACAAAAGUUGAGUGGUAGCUAUCAGAAUGGUUAUGUGGGUCUAUCUGCUUUUGUAUAUCUUUAAACAUUUUUGUAAUAAAAAGCUUUUAAAAAGUAACAUAUUAAUUUCCAUAUGACAAGAGGGAGGAGCUGAUAACAAUAGAUGGCAAGGAUGUGUUUAGUCCAUAAACUGGAGUUGAGCUGUUCCUCAAUAUAGAUACUUCAGGAAUUCCUUUCAGGUUAGGCCCUUGGAAGAAAAUUUCUUUCUGUAUAACAGGAAGAAAUAUAAAAUGGGGGGAGGAUGCAUAGAGUAUUUUUUUAAAGUUUAUUAAUAUGAAUUCCAUGUGAUGGCUUCUAGUACCUCUAUGAACUGUGAGUCUAGAACAUUGACUCAACAAGUAGAGAUGACCUCACUUUGAAGAAAGUGUAGAGAGUUGGAAUAAAUGUGUCAUGAGAGAAUGGACUAAGGAAUAGUGACCUAAGCUUCAUGAGGUUUGUUUAUUGAGAGUAAGUAUACCAUAAUUAUUUGGGGAAUAAGUAAGUGAAUUAUUUCCACAUAGUAUGGGACCAACUAUGACUUCACUGUGGUGAGAGUAAACCUGUUAGAUUGAAUCCAGUAGUGAUCCAUCACUUAUAGGAAGACAUCCAUGGGAAAAGCAGAGAGAUGGGAUUUUCCCGGACAAGGAGGAUCAAAUAUAUGGGAUGAGGUUCAGUUGGAGUAGAGCUUUAUUAAUGUUGGUUACUUGAUAGACAAUUCUAUGAUGAAGAGGGAGGGAAUGAAGACCUUUGUGGAUAGAAUGAGAAAUGGAAAAAUUUUUGACACCUCAGAAUUUAAGAGCAUAAACUAGAAGGAUAGGGGGAUGGUUCUGUUUUCUCAGAUGGAGAUGUUUUUCUGGUGAUAAAUUCUAUAAGUGUGUCAAUAAUUAAACUGGACCAAAGGUUAGAAUCCUAAGGUAGGACAAUAUGGAUCAAAGACCAGUUUAUUAACUAGUCCAUACAUGGUGAUUUUCCAGUUCCUCUACCAACUCCUUAUCUGUUUAUCCCAGGGACUCCACAAAAUCUGUAUGUCUUCUGCAACUCUGAGCUUUGAACACUGCUUUGAAUUCUGACAAAGAAGAUACUCUAGUUAGAUUAAAAGGAAGCUGUGGUAGACAGCUUUUUGUUUUGAUUUUGCCAACCAGAAUUCACAAUUUUUCCUGGAAAACCUAUUCAAAUAUCCCCUAGGAAACUCACUCAAUUUUGAGACUCAGUCUGUGCAAGAGGAGUCACCUUCAUGUGUGUAGCAUUCCAUACAGGUCUGUGGUAAGCAGGUGAAAAUCUGUAAACCUGGUGCAUACUUCAGCAUUCACUGUGGGAUCAGGAGCUCAAAGUGAUCUGAGAGAUAUAUCAUGGUUCCAUCUAGCCCAGGAAGAUCAAUGGUGGCAUUCUCAUCCUCAUAAGGGCAAUAUCUUGCAUAUUGUUAUAAGCAUGGGUAGAAAGAAUGUACCAAUGGCACCUUCCCUAAAGGUAAGGAUGACAUGUCUGUAUUCAACCAAUCAGCUGUCUUCUUGUAAAGAAGAGCCCCAUGUUUACUUCUGCCAGUACAACAUAAGCUCUGCAGUACCCUGAAAAGCCUCAGAGAAAUGCUGGCAGAAUCACACUGGGAAAUGCAAGAAGAUGCCAGGGUCAGGAUGUGGGAAUGAUGGGGCAUAAACCUCUCUUCCACCAACAAUGUCAUUCUUUACUCUGUGCAUGUUUUUCUUACUUUCCCACUCACCCUAAGAUAUCUUUUCAUUACUCUUAGCUUUAUUUUACCCUAAUUGAUAUUCUCAACACUGACAGUUGUAGGCAGGGACAGCAGAGACCCCUUUACUCUACAAAACCAUCAACAACAGUCCAGGCAGAUUGAAGAAAUAUUCAGGAAGAGGAACCAUUUGCCUUAGGUGAUUUUCCAGUAAGGGAACCUCAAUGGCAAGAUAACAGUAUGCUUCUAAAAUACGUUACCAUGCCCAUGUGACAGGUUCUUAAGCAGCACCUCCUCUUUUCCCAGAUGUUCUGUUAGCUUGCUUGAAUCCACUUUGGCAAUGCCCUAAAUGCCCCCAGGAAAGGGUCAUGCACCAGUGACAGGCUGAUUGGUGACAAAUUUUAUUUAAAAAAUGACUAAGUCAUUUUAUUCUAAGAAAAUGUACUUCUCUCUACUUGAUCAAUGAGGGGGGAAAGUGUGGACUGUCAUACAAUGCCAUUAAGACAAAGCUAAGAGGUUGGAAACUGCCACCUCCUCCAACUUCACAAGGGAGGGGAGGGGAUUCAGGGGCAGGUAACAUACCUUCAAGAAGAGCUCUAGGGAACUUGUCACCUUGCAAGCAAAUACGGGCAAGGGUUAAACUGAUUUUUUUUCUUUCCGUAACCACAACCAAUGGGGUGACCCCCAAACCAUGCAUUCAACACAAUACAAAGAAAACUCUUAUAAGAACAUUUAUUGGGGACAUUCAGUAUUUCCAUCAGGGAUAAUUAUUAUAGGAAAUAUUCCUUCUUGCAAAUGGUGGAUAAGAAUUUUCUCUUUACAAAUUAGGGAAUAAUAACCAAAUUGGCUUCAGCACAGAAAGGGGCAACCAGAGACAACUGGCCCACUUGAUGCCCACAGGUGAGACUUGAAUGAGUCUUUCGAUCCCUGUGGGGCAUGGAGUUGAUCCUUGUUACUUUAGAGCAAGGUGCCUUGUAAUUGAAGGGAUGCACCUGGACAAAUUCUGCCUGGACCUCGAGUCCUGCCUUGGGCUGAGUUUUCCAGACUUAACAGGGGACAAAUGUGGCUCUUGGGGGCAGGUGACAUUGAUUCCAUGCCAGUGUCCACGUUUCUCCCCCAGGACCUUGUCACCGUCUCUCAUGAUUCUGGGGUUGGCAGUAUUCCCAGUAAAGGCAGCUCUCCUUUGGACUAGGCCUCUGCCCUGCACAGGUGAUGAUGGGGAGCGGCCGUUUUCUGGGGAACCUUCUUGCCUUUUUCCUUUUAUGUUAGGAUAAAUCCAUUGAAAAAAGUUCUUCAUCUGGUUUCUGAGGCUUUCAGGAGGAGCUUGUCCCUUCAGUGACUGGGC
This is a long non-coding RNA of Marmota monax (woodchuck), 5460 nucleotides long. RefSeq lists it as uncharacterized. Lineage: Eukaryota; Metazoa; Chordata; Mammalia; Rodentia; Sciuridae. The record is from RefSeq and is a predicted model, not a curated record. The transcript has 5 exons.